GCGUGCUAUACAUGCAAGUCGAGCGGACAGAAGGGAGCUGCUCCGGAUGUAGCGGCGGACGGGUGAGUAACACGUGGGUAACUGCCUGUAAGACUGGGAUAACUCCGGGAAACCGGAGCUAAUACCGGAUAGUUCCUUGAACCGCAUGGUUCAAGGAUGAAAGACGGUUUCGGCUGUCACUUACAGAUGGACCCGCGGCGCAUAGCUAGUUGGUGAGGUAACGGCUCACCAAGGCGACGAUGCGUAGCCGACUGAGAGGGUGAUCGGCCACACUGGGACUGAGACACGGCCCAGACUCCUACGGGAGGCAGCAGUAGGGAAUCUUCCGCAAUGGACGAAAGUCUGACGGAGCAACGCCGCGUGAGUGAUGAAGGUUUUCGGAUCGUAAAGCUCUGUUGUUAGGGAAGAACAAGUGCAAGAGUAACUGCUUGCACCUUGACGGUACCUAACCAGAAAGCCACGGCUAACUACGUGCCAGCAGCCGCGGUAAUACGUAGGUGGCAGCGUUGUCCGGAAUUAUUGGGCGUAAAGGGCUCGCAGGCGGUUUCUUAAGUCUGAUGUGAAAGCCCCCGGCUCAACCGGGGAGGGUCAUUGGAAACUGGGAAACUUGAGUGCAGAAGAGGAGAGUGGAAUUCCACGUGUAGCGGUGAAAUGCGUAGAGAUGUGGAGGAACACCAGUGGCGAAGGCGACUCUCUGGUCUGUAACUGACGCUGAGGAGCGAAAGCGUGGGGAGCGAACAGGAUUAGAUACCCUGGUAGUCCACGCCGUAAACGAUGAGUGCUAAGUGUUAGGGGGUUUCCGCCCCUUAGUGCUGCAGCUAACGCAUUAAGCACUCCGCCUGGGGAGUACGGUCGCAAGACUGAAACUCAAAGGAAUUGACGGGGGCCCGCACAAGCGGUGGAGCAUGUGGUUUAAUUCGAAGCAACGCGAAGAACCUUACCAGGUCUUGACAUCCUCUGACAACCCUAGAGAUAGGGCUUUCCCUUCGGGGACAGAGUGACAGGU
RNAcentral lists this ribosomal RNA (1006 nucleotides) under Bacillus aerius. RNAcentral's name for it is "bacterial SSU rRNA". It matches the Rfam family "Bacterial small subunit ribosomal RNA", at positions 42 to 1039 of the family's 1533-position model. The record is from RNAcentral. Lineage: Bacteria; Bacillati; Bacillota; Bacilli; Caryophanales; Bacillaceae.